This 310-nucleotide ribosomal RNA is filed under the name uncultured fungus. RNAcentral describes it as "SSU rRNA". It matches the Rfam family "Eukaryotic small subunit ribosomal RNA", at positions 21 to 337 of the family's 1831-position model. Lineage: Eukaryota; Fungi. The record is from RNAcentral.
UUAGUCAUAUGCUUGUUUCAAAGAUUAAACCCUGCCUGUUUAAGUAUAAACCAUCUAUACUGUGAAACUGCGAAUGGCUCAUUAAAUCAGUUAUAGUUUAUUUGAUAGUACCUUUACCUGGAUAACCGUGGUAAUUCUAGAGCUAAUACAUGCCAAAAACCCCGACUCCGGAAGGGGUGUAUUUAUUAGAUAAAAAACCAAUGCCCUCCGGGGCUCCUUGGUGAUUCAUGAUAACUUAACGAAUCGCAUGGCCUUGCGCCGGCGAUGGUUCAUUCAAAUUUCUGCCCUACAACUUCGAUGUAGAAGCAAA